AGGAGGCAGCAGUAAGGAAUAUUGCACAAUGGACGAAAGUCUGAUGCAGCAACGCCGCGUGGAGGAUGACACAUUUCGGUGCGUAAACUCCUUUUAUAUGAGAAGAUAAUGACGGUAUCAUAUGAAUAAGCACCGGCUAACUCCGUGCCAGCAGCCGCGGUAAUACGGGGGGUGCAAGCGUUACUCGGAAUCACUGGGCGUAAAGAGCGUGUAGGCGGGUUGAUAAGUUUGAAGUGAAAUCCUAUAGCUUAACUAUAGAACUGCUUUGAAAACUGUUAACCUAGAAUAUGGGAGAGGUAGAUGGAAUUUCUGGUGUAGGGGUAAAAUCCGUAGAGAUCAGAAGGAAUACCGAUUGCGAAGGCGAUCUACUGGAACAUUAUUGACGCUGAGACGCGAAAGCGUGGGUAGCAAACAGGAUUAGAUACCCUAGUAGUC
This 435-nucleotide ribosomal RNA is filed under the name uncultured bacterium. Its description in RNAcentral is "bacterial SSU rRNA". It matches the Rfam family "Bacterial small subunit ribosomal RNA", at positions 343 to 795 of the family's 1533-position model. The record is from RNAcentral.